This 3285-nucleotide long non-coding RNA is filed under the name Mytilus galloprovincialis (Mediterranean mussel). Lineage: Eukaryota; Metazoa; Mollusca; Bivalvia; Mytilida; Mytilidae. The record is from RNAcentral.
CCUGGUAAUUAAGCAAUUAGUUAUAAAGGUGGUUACAUACUAUUUGUUUACCUGUGUAUAUAAAGACGUUCUCCACCGAAUACCAGACACUUUACUGUUAACCUACAGAUCAUCAUGUGGUCAAUGUUGAUAAUGCUCAGUUGUUUUAUUGGUUGUGUGCAGAGUCAAAGUAUGUACAAUAUUCUCAUAGAGGGGGGAUUAUGUAUAUUGGUAAAGACACUUCAUUUUUCUUUAAUUAAUAUCUUACCACUUUCUCUGUCAAAAUAUAUAAUUUGUAACCUUGAUGAGAAAAGCAAAAUCGUUACUUUAAUCUUUAAUCUUUGAUGUUUUGUUUAUUUAAAUGUUUAUAUCGUUUACAAUGUUUCAUUUAUGUUAAUUGUAAUAAAGUUUUUAUGGUAUGAUACUAAAAACAUAAAGGGAGGGAAUUGCUAAAUUUUCAUAUGAUGAAGACAAAUCUUUCAGCCAGUUAAAUUGAGGUCUGUAGCUGGCAUGUCAGUAACUGCUAGUACUCCUUUAUUUAUUUAUUUAUAAUUGACAUUUUCAUUCGUUUCAUCUGUUACCUAUUCUGACAUCGAACUCGGACUUCUUUAUAACUGAGUUUUACUAUGUUUAUUGCUGUGUGUUUAUUCUACAUUGGGCUAGAGGUAUAGGGGAAGGGUAAUAUCGCACAAAACAUGUUUAACCCGAACUAUUUUUGCGACUGUCCAAAGUCAUAAUGACAUAUUCCCCAUUUCCAUUCUCAAUUUCAUUUACAAUGUUGAUACAUAAGUGUCUCUCUAUAUUGAAUAACGCCAAAUCUGAAAACGCUAUAUAGUAGUCAUAGGGCAAACGCGCUAUGAACUACAACUCCAUGAAGGAGUAUACCCAUUUAAUCUUUCAGAACAUUAACUGUACAACUUUUGAUCUUUUAAUUCUCAUAAAAAUAUUUUUGAUCGAUGAAAGUCAGAUUUCCGGUAUUCGUAUGCUUGUAUGAUAAAGUGUUCAUUUUAUAUCCUCAAAAUUCUCGUACAUAUCGGAAAUAAUAAUUUUAUGCUGAGCUUAAUUUUGAUAAGAAUUAUUUAACAUUAAGAUACGUUUAUAGCAUUUGUUUUUGUGUACUGUUUUCUUUAGGUGACAUAUUUAUGGCCUAAUUAACACCUUUGGUGGUCUUAAAUCUGUUGAUCACUUUAUCUAGGGUUAAUUAGUGUUGUCACUACGAUUUACCAUUUUACCGGGUCAAUGUUUACUUUGCAAUUUUCCUCAAUCAAGACAAUUUGUAACCUUCGUUUCUAAAGCUUCAAUUUUCCAAUUUUUUUUUUUAGAAAACUAAAAUCCACGAAUUUAAAAACCCACGAACAUGUAAAUAUUUCUCAAACCACGAAAAUUGAUACCCACGAAUUAAAGUACUUUCACAGUAUAUAUUUAUAGCAGUACCUACCUGCCCAUUCGGAAUACCACUACCUAACAUCCAUUGUGGUAGGGGACAAGGUAGUCAAACCUGCCCGCCUUUGUUUUACUGUAACGUUCACCCGUUGGAUGCGUUUGCUGUGUGUUGCAUGAAGGUCAGUAUUAUACACUUAACGCUGAUAAAAUAAGAAAUUGAUAAACCUUCGUGUUAGUUAUUCCUGAUUCCCGAUAAAGCGCUUCGGACGCACAAAAACUGUAAAGUUAUGAUUCUAUUCAGGAUGUGUUUUUUAUCGUUCAGUGGCAACUUUUUUAAAUGAUGUCUGUCAUACUGUUUUGCUUUUGUUGAAUGUUAAACCAUGCUGUUUAUUAUGUUGAUUUUGUCCGAUUUUGUUAUUUCAGGGCCUUUAAUACCUUACUGUAAUGUAGCUGUGAUGUCAGUAUUCUUUGUUUGAUAUUGUUGUAUUUACAAUGAUAGUACACCGCAUUAUUUUGUUAUCAACAUAAGUCUACGCCUUUCCUCGUGUUAGAAUCAAUUGUUUACAAAUUGGUUAAUUAGCAUUUUUAUAAAUAUCACUUGCUGAUAUUUAACAUUAUUUUGAAUAUCUUACUGAAACACAUAACAUUUAUUUUCCAGCUACCUGGCUAACCUGGUAUGCAUCGUGUUGUUUGUACAAAGUAAUGAUGUCAUCAUAGAUGUAUGGAUCCUACUUGCUGACCAUUUUUUUGACACACAUAAAUACAUAAACUAUUUAAUAAACUUGACUUUGAGAUAAAAAUGAAAGACGUGUUCUUUUUUGUCGUAGCCCAAUCCUGUCAUGCAAUUAAUGUAAUCCACAUAUGCGACAUAUGCGACAUACCAUGCAUUAACUGCAAUGAGGAAAAGGGGUGUUUUGUGUUUCAUGUGUUUCACAAAAUGACAUUUUCUGUUUAUUUCUUUGGUUUUUUUUCUGUUUAAUUUUAACGAUUGUGUGUUUAGUGGAUCUUCACCUUACUGUUUUAAUUUUGUCCUGUUUGUAUUAUUAUACCGCUUUAACAUAGUAUCUAUAAAAUACUUCAUUUAAGAAAUGUUUCCAAUUUUUGAAGUAUUCUUCAUAAUUAAUCUUUCAUAUGUUUCCAUUCUAAUUCAGUUAUUGAAUCGUGCAUACAAUGAUGGACUAUUUGACCAAGAGUAGUCAGUGGUUUGGUUCUGACUUAGUUUAUAAAAUACGUUAUACAUUUCCCUGUUAAUAUAUUGACAAAAUUGAAAACAUUAUAGUGACGUCAUUCUAUUGUUGUAUCUGUUCUUCAAUUUCUUCUUUCGCGUAUCUGUUUUUGGCAUAUUUGGAUCGCCAACGAGCAUGAACUUCGAAAAGAUUAUCUGCAACACAGUUAUUUGCGGCUUGAGUAGCGCCUCCGCGUUGUGAAUUAUGCAGACCGAAUUGCAUGUUGUCUAAACCUAUUGCACUUAAAUCUAAGUGACAAAUUGUGCUGGUUCUAAUAUAAGAUAAAGGCUUAUUUUUUUACUCAAUACCAAAACAUCUCUUUUAAACUGUAAAAAUGGAAAACGAUAAAAAAUUAUCUCAGUGCUGGCAAAUUCCCAAUAAUGUUUACAAAUUAGCAGGACAAGUCGGCAUAAUCAGACUUCUUAUCAUAACUCUGUAAUCCUGUCUGUAAAUAUCGGUCUUCCUAUCUAUAACUCUGUAAUCCUGUCUGUAAAGAUCGUUCUUCUUAUCAUAACUCUGUAAUCCUGUCUGUAAAUAUCGGUCUUCCUAUUUAUAACUUUAAUUUCAACGUGAGUAUUUUGAAAACUGAUAUCACUCAUUCUUAUAUACUAGAUUUCUUUGUAUCUAAGAAAUCCAGUAUGAGCUAAAAAUAACAAUCAAAGUAACAUACUGUUGGACAAGCAAUAUUUAUCAUGAU